GGAUGGAUCACCUCCUUUCUAAGGAAA
Molecule: ribosomal RNA, 27 nt
Filed under: Candidatus Phytoplasma prunorum
Lineage: Bacteria; Bacillati; Mycoplasmatota; Mollicutes; Acholeplasmatales; Acholeplasmataceae
Description: partial 16S ribosomal RNA
Source: RNAcentral